RNAcentral lists this ribosomal RNA (444 nucleotides) under uncultured bacterium. Its description in RNAcentral is "partial 16S ribosomal RNA". It matches the Rfam family "Bacterial small subunit ribosomal RNA", at positions 354 to 795 of the family's 1533-position model. The record is from RNAcentral.
GUGAGGAAUAUUGGACAAUGGAUGGAAAUCUGAUCCAGCCAUGCCGCGUGCAGGAAGACGGCCCUAUGGGUUGUAAACUGCUUUUAUACGGGAGCAAUAAGGUCUAUGCAUAGAUUGAUGAGAGUACCGUAUGAAUAAGCAUCGGCUAACUCCGUGCCAGCAGCCGCGGUAAUACGGAGGAUGCGAGCGUUAUCCGGAUUUAUUGGGUUUAAAGGGUGCGUAGGCGGCUUUGUAAGUCAGCGGUGAAAUUUUGCAGCUUAACUGUAAAAGCGCCGUUGAUACUGUGAAGCUAGGAUUUGGUUGCUGUGGGCGGAAUGUGUGGUGUAGCGGUGAAAUGCAUAGAGAUCACACAGAAUAUCGAUUGCGAAGGCAGCUCACAAAGCCAAUAUUGACGCUGAGGCACGAAAGUGUGGGGAUCAAACAGGAUUAGAUACCCUAGUAGUC